Molecule: long non-coding RNA, 813 nt
Organism: Drosophila elegans
Lineage: Eukaryota; Metazoa; Arthropoda; Insecta; Diptera; Drosophilidae
Exons: 2
Source: RefSeq, a predicted model, not a curated record
CCCAAAUACUUUUAUUGAAAAUACAAAGAAAAUUGUAUAGCUUAGGCAAUAGAAUGAGGAACUGAAAACAUUGUAAGCCUUAAAUAUUUAAUUCGGAAUAUUCUGAGAGAGUUUACUAAUAAUUCUGGAAAAAAAUUGAAAAAAGGUUACACCCAAACACUGUCAGCCCACCAAGUAUAUCCCCAAAAAAGACAGGGUAUUCGAACGGCAACGCUUAGAGCAAAACUGAAACCACAGGCGCAAAUUGAAAGACAAUAAAUGCAGGCGGCGGGUGGUUUGAUGGUGUCCCCAGAUCCCGCCCAGACUUGUACGACAACAAUGGCAGUAAGCAAUGCGAACAAUCCGGGCAACCAGCUAACGAGCGGCCAGCAUGGCGUAUGAGUAACGGCGGCCGUUUGAUUGUCUGCAUGCAAAACAAAACAACAAACUGUGGGCAAACAAAUCGAAAGGCACGCCAAACUCCGGGGAAUAGCGGCAAAACAAAAGGCUCGUCGCUCGUCAGACGGAAAACAUCAUAAAUCCCCGAAAAUCUGACUGUGUUAUUCUUCGAAAGCCGAGCUCAUCAGCGGUUGGCAGUUUUGGCACGGGAUUGCCGUCGCACGCCUGCACACAUUGUCAGACACUUGAAUUGCCAGCCGGAAUCGUGGCUAAUCAGAGCAUUUUGCAGGAGUUUAGCGACAAAUGUCGCGACAUUGCCACGCCACUUCGAGGGCUCUUCAUCAGUUGGUUUUCAAUGGGAUUUGGCACAGAGAGAAUAAUUUGUAACUCAUUAAGGGCUAAAAUAAUAGAAAAUAUAUGAAAAUCUAUAUUUAA